Plectropomus leopardus (leopard coralgrouper) is the source of this 236-nucleotide non-coding RNA. The record is from RefSeq and is a predicted model, not a curated record. Lineage: Eukaryota; Metazoa; Chordata; Actinopteri; Perciformes; Serranidae.
UUUCCCAAGAAAAGCUCAGCUCUCUCAGUUUUCUGCCCGUCUUAUUGCCGCUCUCAUUGUCUUUGUCGACAGUGAUAAAGAGAGCAGUUCAACCACGGGCCUGUUUUUGGAAUAAGAAAAGCAUUGCUGUUUUCUGACUUUGAGAGAAGAAAGAAGGGACUCCUCUGGAAUUUCCUAAGGAAUUUAAUCGGACUGCUCCGUUACCGGGGCUUUGCAUUCUACCGCCUGGGUACAUA